RNAcentral lists this long non-coding RNA (1545 nucleotides) under Olea europaea (common olive). RNAcentral's name for it is "long non-coding RNA (OEUR_LNC000017)". Lineage: Eukaryota; Viridiplantae; Streptophyta; Magnoliopsida; Lamiales; Oleaceae. The record is from RNAcentral.
UUCUUGUGAUUUAUAGUUACUUGAUUAAUGCUCAAUAAUUCAAAAACGUCAACCUUAACUCAUACUCAAUCUUCAUUCUUUCCCACAACUCUGACUAACAUAGGUCAGUACUCAAAAUUGAUUUAUAUAUAGUAAAUAAAAAAUGUAAGUAGAGAAUACAACGAUCUACCUAAUCUAGAAUGGUUUUAACUAAGAUUUAAAUAAAAAAAUAUAUCUCUUCGUCAACUUCCUUCUUACUAAACUUUGUCAUCCCUAAUAAAAGAAUGAUUUUUUUAAGCGGGUAAUCGGUUCGGUUUCGGUUCGACAGCAUAAAUACCAUACCCGCACCGCCACAAACCGGUUCAUUAAAAUCAAAUACCAUAUCCGCCCCAUUGCACAAUCAGUACAGUUUUUUCGCUCCACUCGGUUCGGUUAAUCGCGAUUUUCGAUUUUAACGAUUCAAGUUUCCAUCUCUAUAGAAUACAGGCUCAAAGACAGGGCUAGCGUGGCAUUUGAAAAUAAAAUAUAUAUAAAAACCACAUUUUAAAGUGGAAAAAGCCAAACAUCAACUUUAUUCUAAAAAUUAUGCUGUCAAAUCAACUGUAUGAAAUAUUAAAUUUUCUGAUUUAAUAUAAAAAAAUAAGUUUAUAUCCACUCACAGAUCUAUAGAUAGAAAUCUGGCUAAAUUGACGAGUCUUUCUUACUUUUCAAGCUUACAUGUCACUACCUGAAAUAACGAUAUAAUUAAUCAAAUUAAAACCUGACAAUUAAAUUAAUACAAAUCCAUAACUUAACUUCUCAACUUCUAUAUGUAUUAUUCUUACAUCUCCAAUUUUCCAACUUUUCGUCUCUUUAAUGAUUUAUCAACUAAUCACAAUUCAUUAUCAAAUCCAUUAAAUCCCUCGCACUUCCUUAAAAUCACUACCUUAUUCAUAUGCAACCCUUACAACGAAUUUAGUCCAAUACAUAAACUUCAAUAUUUGUCAUGUAACUUAAUUCGAACCUUUAAAAAUCUGAAAACAAGAGCUUUGACGAAAAAAGAACUAAAAUCUGAUACCAAUUUCUAUAUUAAAAUUUGGUAUCAAAACCUUUGACAGAAAUAGCGUUAUUCUGGGCAGAUUUUCAGAAACAGCACCUGAGUAAGAUUUUGUCGAAAAAUAACUUAUAUUAAUUACUUAAAGAUGGAGAAAUCAACCCCAAAGCCUUAAUUUAAAUGCUCGACAUCAUAUAAUCACAAAAAGAUCACAGAAUUAAUAUCCAUUUCAUAAACCCAUUUACAAAGUUCCACUUUCUUCAACUUCAAAAUUCAAAAAACACGUUUCUUUGCUAUAUUUCUAAUUAUAACACCAAAUACAUAUUAAUAAUACCUAAUUCUAGCUAAGUUUUGAAUUGAAACAAAUUUUUCAUAAACCCUAAGAAAAUUUUAUUCAAUAUACUUGUUCUUACCUCUCUAAAUUAAAUGAGAAAUUGAAGAAAUAGAGCUUGGAAAUCCACUUCCUCUUCUUCUUUCCUCCUCUUCCUUCCUUUCUUCUCUUCUCUUCUCUCGGUCUUUCUCGACGUUUCGCC